CCAGACUCCUACGGGAGGCAGCAGUGGGGGAUAUUGCACAAUGGGGGAAACCCUGAUGCAGCGACGCCGCGUGGGUGAAGGAGCACUUCGGUGCGUAAAGCCCUAUCGGCAGGGAAGAAAAGGGGGAAACCCCAGACGGUACCUGACUAAGAAGCCCCGGCUAACUACGUGCCAGCAGCCGCGGUAAUACGUAGGGGGCAAGCGUUAUCCGGAUUUACUGGGUGUAAAGGGAGCGCAGACGGCAGUGCAAGUCUGGAGUGAAAGCCCGGGGCCCAACCCCGGGACUGCUCUGGAAACUGUGCAGCUAGAGUGCAGGAGAGGCAGGCGGAAUUCCUAGUGUAGCGGUGAAAUGCGUAGAUAUUAGGAGGAACACCAGUGGCGAAGGCGGCUUACUGGACUGUAAAUGACGCUGAGGCUCGAAAGCGUGGGGAGCAAACGGGAUUAGAUACCCCAGUAUG
RNAcentral lists this ribosomal RNA (458 nucleotides) under uncultured bacterium. RNAcentral's name for it is "bacterial SSU rRNA". It matches the Rfam family "Bacterial small subunit ribosomal RNA", at positions 331 to 793 of the family's 1533-position model. The record is from RNAcentral.